AGGAUGAACGCUGGCGGCGUGCUUAACACAUGCGAGUCGAACGAUGAAGCAGAGCUUGCUCUGUGGAUUAGUGGCGAACGGGUGAGUAACACGUGAGUAACCUGCCCUUGACUCUGGAAUAAGCGUUGGAAACGACGUCUAAUACCGGAUACGAGCUUCCGCCGCAUGGUGAGGAGCUGGAAAAGUAAUUUCGGUCAAGGAUGGACUCGCGGCCUAUCAGGUAGUUGGUGAGGUAAUGGCUCACCAAGCCUACGACGGGUAGCCGGCCUGAGAGGGUGACCGGCCACACUGGAACUGAGACACGGUCCAGACUCCUACGGGAGCAGCAGUGGGAAUAUUGCACAAUGGGCGCAAGCCUGAUGCAGCAACGCCGCGUGAGGACGACGCCGUGGUACGUAACUCUUAGUAGGAAGAAGGCGUCGUCUGACGUACUGACAGAAAAGACACGACGUAACUACGUGCGAGCACGCGCGUA
RNAcentral lists this ribosomal RNA (475 nucleotides) under uncultured soil bacterium. Its description in RNAcentral is "bacterial SSU rRNA". It matches the Rfam family "Bacterial small subunit ribosomal RNA", at positions 26 to 521 of the family's 1533-position model. The record is from RNAcentral.